AUUUUCAUAUACAUACAGGUGUGGCAGAGAGUUUAAGAAGUAUGCUUCUCAACCAUGAAGUCUCGUGUACGGUCAUUAAUGCGUGGCUUCAUUGGAUGCACUGUAGUUUAAAUUCGGAGUUCGUUUUGUUACAUAUAUUAACCUUGAGUCUACUUGACAUCCGUGAUAAGUGUGCCGAUGUUUGUGGACUGUUUAACUACUUCGCACAAUAAUUCAAUGAUAAAGUCUUCUAGCUCAUAGAACAAGAGGAUGCUCAUCAACAAGAAAGUCUAUUAUUGCAGAUAUGAUUAUAAAAACAAGUGAUACAUGUCUGGAACUUGCAAUCACCUUGCAGAGAUGCGUUACAAGCAACAGGCUGGACACGACAACAGCGACACCGGAGGACAGAAGAAAUACCGGUAUUGUAAAAGUAAGCCUGAUGUUUCAAAUCCAACUGCCAGUGACUAUAGUAGCAACCACGAUAGUAAGUAUAUUACUACGAGGUGGGAAGAAUUGUAAGUAAUUGUAAUUUAUUCUUAAUGAAAUACUUCAAGAGAAGAUUUUUGUUUUGACACACCAGUUACAAGGUAAGCUUUACUUGGUCAGCAUUGAUAAGAGACGC
Long non-coding RNA from Octopus bimaculoides (California two-spot octopus), 601 nucleotides. RefSeq lists it as uncharacterized. Lineage: Eukaryota; Metazoa; Mollusca; Cephalopoda; Octopoda; Octopodidae. The record is from RefSeq and is a predicted model, not a curated record.